UCUUCGAUAGCUAAAGGAUAGCGUAGUCUUGAAGCGGCUAAGGUGAUAAUUUUUAUUCUCGAAGAA
This 66-nucleotide transfer RNA is filed under the name Cryptocelis alba. RNAcentral describes it as "tRNA-Phe". Lineage: Eukaryota; Metazoa; Platyhelminthes; Polycladida; Cryptocelidae. The record is from RNAcentral.